CUCCCUUCGGCGGGACGUAUAUUAAAAUAGGAACGAUACAGAGAAGAUUAGCAUGGUCCCUGCGCAAGGAUUACACGCACAAUCGUGAAGCGUUCCACAUUUAA
This is a small nuclear RNA of Schistocerca cancellata (South American locust), 104 nucleotides long. The record is from RefSeq and is a predicted model, not a curated record. NCBI's taxonomy places the organism in Eukaryota, Metazoa, Arthropoda, Insecta, Orthoptera, Acrididae.